This 292-nucleotide ribosomal RNA is filed under the name uncultured bacterium. RNAcentral's name for it is "partial 16S ribosomal RNA". It matches the Rfam family "Bacterial small subunit ribosomal RNA", at positions 505 to 796 of the family's 1533-position model. The record is from RNAcentral.
GUGUCAGCAGCCGCGGUAACACGUAGGGCGCAAGCGUUGUCCGGAAUCAUUGGGCGUAAAGAGCGCGUAGGCGGCCCAGUAAGUCCGCUCUGAAAGUCAGGGGCUCAACCCCUGGAUGCGGGUGGAUACUGCUGGGCUAGAGUCCGGAAGAGGUGAGUGGAAUUCCUGGUGUAGCGGUGAAAUGCGCAGAUAUCGGGAGGAACACCGGUGGCGAAGGCGGUUCUCUGGGCCUUACCUGACGCUGAGGAGCGAAAGCGUGGGGAGCGAACAGGAUUAGAAGCCCCGGUAGUCC